UAAGUCCCCGUCGGGUAAGGUCUAACCAACCAUCCGUAUCAAGUGUUGCGUGUUUGUAGGUAACGAAUGACACGAAGCGCACAGAGAAACUAAUAGACCACAAAGGAGGAUCGCAACUCCUUGAAGCUUGACAUAGCAUCAUUAACUAAUAGUGCAGAUGGCGACGUUUUUGAAAAGACGGAAGCCUACAUAAUACAGUCAUCAUGGUGAGACUGUUGAGGGUCUGCUGGUGUCCACUAAGAGCG
Non-coding RNA from Beggiatoa sp. PS, 245 nucleotides. The record is from Rfam. NCBI's taxonomy places the organism in Bacteria, Pseudomonadati, Pseudomonadota, Gammaproteobacteria, Thiotrichales, Thiotrichaceae.